AGGCCCGAAAAGAGAGGCAGGGUCUGAUCUGCAGCCUCCGUGGCAGCUGUUGACCAGCCAUUGCCUCUCUUUCUCUCUGGG
Myotis davidii is the source of this 81-nucleotide non-coding RNA. The record is from Rfam. Lineage: Eukaryota; Metazoa; Chordata; Mammalia; Chiroptera; Vespertilionidae.